This 46-nucleotide non-coding RNA is filed under the name Schistosoma bovis. The record is from RNAcentral. RNAcentral also lists the same sequence under 1 other name. Lineage: Eukaryota; Metazoa; Platyhelminthes; Trematoda; Strigeidida; Schistosomatidae.
GCACUGCUGACGAGUCCCAUAAUAGGACGAAACAACUAUCCAGUGC